Molecule: ribosomal RNA, 401 nt
Filed under: uncultured bacterium
Lineage: Bacteria
Description: bacterial SSU rRNA
Rfam family: Bacterial small subunit ribosomal RNA
Source: RNAcentral
GAGGAAUAUUGCACAAUGGGGGCAACCCUGAUGCAGCAACGCCGCGUGCGGGACGAAGGCCCUCGGGUCGUAAACCGCUUUUCUGAGGGACGAGCAAGGACGGUACCUCAGGAAUAAGUCUCGGCUAACUACGUGCCAGCAGCCGCGGUAAAACGUAGGAGGCGAGCGUUAUCCGGAUUUACUGGGCGUAAAGCGCAUGCAGGCGGCUAGGUGAGUCGGACGUGAAAGCUCCUGGCUUAACUGGGAGAGGCCGUUCGAUACUGCCCGGCUUGAGGUUGGGAGAGGGGUGCGGAAUUCCCGGUGUAGUGGUGGAAUGCGUAGAUAUCGGGAGGAACACCAGUGGCGAAGGCGGCACCCUGGCCCACACCUGACGCUGAGGUGCGAAAGCGUGGGGAGCAAAC